Molecule: ribosomal RNA, 453 nt
Filed under: uncultured bacterium
Lineage: Bacteria
Description: bacterial SSU rRNA
Rfam family: Bacterial small subunit ribosomal RNA
Source: RNAcentral
GAUGAACGCUAGCGGCAGGCUUAACACAUGCAAGUCGAGGGGUAUAGUUCUUCGGAACUAGAGACCGGCGCACGGGUGCGUAACGCGUAUGCAAUCUACCUUUCACAAAGGGAUAGCCCCAGAGAAAUUUGGAUUAAUACCUUAUAGUAAUACGACUUGGCAUCAAGAUGUAUUUAAAGAUUUAUCGGUGAAAGAUGAGCAUGCGUCCAUUAGCUUGUUGGUAAGGUAACGGCUUACCAAGGCAACGAUGGGUAGGGGUCCUGAGAGGGAGACUCCCCCACACUGGUACUGAGACACGGACCAGACUCCUACGGGAGCAGCAGUGAGGAAUAUUGGACAAUGGGCGCAAGCCUGAUCCAGCCAUGCCGCGUGCAGGAUGACGGUCCUAUGGAUUGUAAACUGCUUUUGUACAGGAAGAAACACACCCUGUGAGGGUACUUGACGGUACUGUAU